Molecule: ribosomal RNA, 464 nt
Filed under: Vreelandella stevensii
Lineage: Bacteria; Pseudomonadati; Pseudomonadota; Gammaproteobacteria; Oceanospirillales; Halomonadaceae
Description: partial 16S ribosomal RNA
Rfam family: Bacterial small subunit ribosomal RNA
Source: RNAcentral
CCUACGGGAGGCAGCAGUGGGGAAUAUUGGACAAUGGGCGAAAGCCUGAUCCAGCCAUGCCGCGUGUGUGAAGAAGGCCUUCGGGUUGUAAAGCACUUUCAGUGGGGAAGAAAGCCUUGGGGCUAAUACCCUCGAGGAAGGACAUCACCCACAGAAGAAGCACCGGCUAACUCCGUGCCAGCAGCCGCGGUAAUACGAGGGUGCGAGCGUUAAUCGGAAUUACUGGGCGUAAAGCGCGCGUAGGCGGUCUGAUAAGCCGGUUGUGAAAGCCCCGGGCUCAACCUGGGAACGGCAUCCGGAACUGUCAGGCUAGAGUGCAGGAGAGGAAGGUAGAAUUCCCGGUGUAGCGGUGAAAUGCGUAGAGAUCGGGAGGAAUACCAGUGGCGAAGGCGGCCUUCUGGACUGACACUGACGCUGAGGUGCGAAAGCGUGGGUAGCAAACAGGAUUAGAUACCCCAGUAGUC